Molecule: long non-coding RNA, 425 nt
Filed under: Mytilus galloprovincialis (Mediterranean mussel)
Lineage: Eukaryota; Metazoa; Mollusca; Bivalvia; Mytilida; Mytilidae
Source: RNAcentral
CCGGGCCACGUCCACUUGUAUAUUUGUCCAUCUGAUGAGUUAAGCCAUUUUCAAUUGAUUUUUAUAGUUCGUUCUUAUAUUGUACUGUUAUACCAGGUUAGGGGAGGGUUGGGAUCCCGCUAACAUGUUUAACCCCGCCACAUUAUUUAUGUAUGUGCCUGUCCCAAGUCAGGAGCCUGUAAUUCAGUGGUUGUCGUUUGUUUAUGUGUUACAUAUUUGUUUUUCGUUCUUUUUUUACAUAAAUAAGGCCGUUAGUUUUCUCGUUUGAAUUGUUUUACAUUGUCUUAUCGGGGCCUUUUAUAGCUGACUAUGCGGUAUGGGCUUUGCUCAUUGAUGAAGGCCGUACGGUGACCUAUAGUUGUUAAUGUCUGUGUCAUUUUGGUCUUUUGUGGAUAGUUGUCUCAUUGGCAAUAAUACCACAUCUU